CCUACGGGAGACAGCAGUGAGGAAUAUUGGUCAAUGGACGCAAGUCUGAACCAGCCAUGCCGCGUGCAGGAAGACGGCUCUAUGAGUUGUAAACUGCUUUUGUACGAGGGUAAACGCAGAUACGCGUAUCUGUCUGAAAGUAUCGUACGAAUAAGGAUCGGCUAACUCCGUGCCAGCAGCCGCGGUAAUACGGAGGAUUCAAGCGUUAUCCGGAUUUAUUGGGUUUAAAGGGUGCGUAGGCGGUCGGAUAAGUUAGAGGUGAAAUACCGAGGCUAAACUUCGGGAUUGCCUCUGAUACUGUACGGCUAGAGAGUAGAUGCAGUAGGCGGAAUGUAUAGUGUAGCGGUGAAAUGCUUAGAGAUCAUACAGAACACCGAUUGCGAAGGCAGCUUACCAAGCUACUUCUGACGUUGAGGCACGAAAGCGUGGGGAGCAAACAGGAUUAGAUACCCGGGUAGUC
RNAcentral lists this ribosomal RNA (460 nucleotides) under uncultured bacterium. RNAcentral's name for it is "partial 16S ribosomal RNA". It matches the Rfam family "Bacterial small subunit ribosomal RNA", at positions 338 to 795 of the family's 1533-position model. The record is from RNAcentral.